RNAcentral lists this small nuclear RNA (310 nucleotides) under Octodon degus (degu). RNAcentral describes it as "7SK RNA (ENSODEG00000023292.1)". It matches the Rfam family "7SK RNA". Rfam says of the family: 7SK was discovered as an abundant small nuclear RNA in the mid-70s but a possible function has only recently been suggested. Two independent studies have found that 7SK RNA binds the CDK9/cyclin T complex (known as elongation factor P-TEFb). Lineage: Eukaryota; Metazoa; Chordata; Mammalia; Rodentia; Octodontidae. The record is from RNAcentral.
GGAUGUGAGGGUGGUCUGACUACAAUAUCUGUUACCCCUCUGAUUGCCAGGGUUGAUUCAGCUGACUAGACAGGCAUCCCCUUCCUCCUGCAAUGCACCAUGUGCUUCCUUCCUGAAGCUGCAUGUUUGGUUGAAGAGGAGGACCACCCCCAAGAGAGGAGGACUGUUCCUUGGUCAAGGCUGUACCAGUAGCUGCACUGCCCUGCUAGAACCUCCCAACAGACUGUCAAAAUGGUUGUUCAUUUUACAACCUAUGAACAUGUGAAGGUUAUUAUCACUCCACAUCCCCCUCAAAUCCUUGAUUUUGCCA